RNAcentral lists this transfer RNA (72 nucleotides) under Camelus bactrianus (Bactrian camel). It matches the Rfam family "tRNA". From Rfam's summary of the family: Transfer RNA (tRNA) molecules are approximately 80 nucleotides in length. Lineage: Eukaryota; Metazoa; Chordata; Mammalia; Artiodactyla; Camelidae. The record is from Rfam by way of RNAcentral. RNAcentral also lists the same sequence under 2 other names.
GAGGGCAUAGCUCAGUGGCAGAGUGUGUGCUUAGCAUGCACGAAGUCCUGGGUUCAACCCCUAGUACCUCCA